GCCUGGCCCUAAAUCUUGAUACUUACCCUACCGAAGUAUCCGCCAGAGAACUACGAGCACAAACGCUUAAAACUCUAAGGACUUGGCGGUGCCCUAAACCCACCUAGAGGAGCCUGUUCUGUAAUCGAUGAUCCACGAUCAACCCAACCACCCCUUGCCAAACACAGCCUACAUACCGCCGUCGCCAGCCCACCUCGAAUGAGAGCACAACAGUGGGCGCAACAGCACCCCGCUAAUAAGACAGGUCAAGGUAUAGCCUAUGGGGCGGAAGAAAUGGGCUACAUUCCCUAUACAUAGGGCAUAUACGGAAAGAAGUAUGAAACUACUUCUAGAAGGAGGAUUUAGCAGUAAAGCGGGACAAUAGAGCCCACUUUAAGCCGGCCCUAGGGCACGU
Molecule: ribosomal RNA, 394 nt
Filed under: Anas acuta (northern pintail)
Lineage: Eukaryota; Metazoa; Chordata; Aves; Anseriformes; Anatidae
Description: partial 12S ribosomal RNA
Rfam family: Bacterial small subunit ribosomal RNA
Source: RNAcentral